ACGGAAGGCAGCAGUGGGGAAUAUUGGGCAAUGGGGGAAACCCUGACCCAGCAACGCCGCGUGAAGGAAGAAGGCCCUCGGGUUGUAAACUUCUUUUACCAGGGACGAAUUUUGACGGUACCUGGAGAGAAAGCAACGGCUAACUACGUGCCAGCAGCCGCGGUAAUACGUAGGUUGCAAGCGUUGUCCGGAUUUACUGGGUGUAAAGGGCGUGUAGGCGGAGCUGCAAGUCAGAUGUGAAAUCCCGGGGCUCAACCCCGGAACUGCAUUGGAAACUGUAGCCCUUGAGUAUCGGAGAGGCAAGCGGAAUUCCUAGUGUAGCGGUGAAAUGCGUAGAUAUUAGGAGGAACACCAGUGGCGAAGGCGGCUUGCUGGACGACAACUGACGCUGAGGCGCGAAAGCGUGGGGAGCAAACAGGAUUAGAUACCCUGGUA
This 435-nucleotide ribosomal RNA is filed under the name uncultured Oscillospiraceae bacterium. Its description in RNAcentral is "partial 16S ribosomal RNA". It matches the Rfam family "Bacterial small subunit ribosomal RNA", at positions 341 to 792 of the family's 1533-position model. Lineage: Bacteria; Bacillati; Bacillota; Clostridia; Eubacteriales; Oscillospiraceae. The record is from RNAcentral.